This is a small nuclear RNA of Trichechus manatus latirostris (Florida manatee), 105 nucleotides long. The record is from RefSeq and is a predicted model, not a curated record. Lineage: Eukaryota; Metazoa; Chordata; Mammalia; Sirenia; Trichechidae.
GUAUGGAAAGGGAGCACAUACGUUAAAACUGGAACAAUACAGAGAAGACUAGCAUGGUCCCUGCACAAGGAUGACAUGCAUAUUCGUGAAGCAUUCCAUAUUUUU